This 443-nucleotide ribosomal RNA is filed under the name uncultured bacterium. RNAcentral's name for it is "partial 16S ribosomal RNA". It matches the Rfam family "Bacterial small subunit ribosomal RNA", at positions 338 to 795 of the family's 1533-position model. The record is from RNAcentral.
CCUACGGGUGGCAGCAGUGGGGAAUAUUGGUCAAUGGGCGCAAGCCUGACCCAGCAACGCCGCGUGAAGGAAGAAGGCUUUCGGGUUGUAAACUUCUUUUGUCAGGGACGAAGCAAGUGACGGUACCUGACUACUAAGCCACCGCUAACUACGUGCCAGCAGCCGCGGUAAUACGUAGGUGGCAAGCGUUAUCCGGAUUUACUGGGUGUACAGGGCGUGUAGGCGGGACGGCAAGUCAGAUGUGAAAACCACGGGCUCAACCUGUGGCCUGCAUUUGAAACUGUAGUUCUUGAGUACUGGAGAGGCAGACGGAAUGCCUAGUGUAGCGGUGAAAUGCGUAGAUAUUAGGAGGAACACCAGUGGCGAAGGCGGUCUGCUGGACAGCAACUGACGCUGAGGCGCGAAAGCGUGGGGAGCAAACAGGAUUAGAUACCCGUGUAGUC